RNAcentral lists this ribosomal RNA (253 nucleotides) under uncultured bacterium. Its description in RNAcentral is "partial 16S ribosomal RNA". It matches the Rfam family "Bacterial small subunit ribosomal RNA", at positions 524 to 776 of the family's 1533-position model. The record is from RNAcentral.
UACGUAGGGUGCAAGCGUUGUCCGGAAUUAUUGGGCGUAAAGAGCUCGUAGGCGGCUUGUAGCGUCGGCUGUGAAAACCUGGGGCUCAACCCCGGGCCUGCAGCCGAUACGGGCAAGCUAGAAUUCGGUAGGGGAGACUGGAAUUCCUGGUGUAGCGGUGAAAUGCGCAGAUAUCAGGAGGAACACCGGUGGCGAAGGCGGGUCUCUGGGCCGAUAUUGACGCUGAGGAGCGAAAGCGUGGGGAGCGAACAGG